Molecule: ribosomal RNA, 810 nt
Filed under: Limosilactobacillus fermentum
Lineage: Bacteria; Bacillati; Bacillota; Bacilli; Lactobacillales; Lactobacillaceae
Description: bacterial SSU rRNA
Rfam family: Bacterial small subunit ribosomal RNA
Source: RNAcentral
CGGUGUGCCUAAUACAUGCAAGUCGAACGCGUUGGCCUAAUUGAUUGAUGGUGCUUGCACCUGAUUGAUUUUGGUCGCCAACGAGUGGCGGACGGGUGAGUAACACGUAGGUAACCUGCCCAGAAGCGGGGGACAACAUUUGGAAACAGAUGCUAAUACCGCAUAACAGCGUUGUUCGCAUGAACAACGCUUAAAAGAUGGCUUCUCGCUAUCACUUCUGGAUGGACCUGCGGUGCAUUAGCUUGUUGGUGGGGUAACGGCCUACCAAGGCGAUGAUGCAUAGCCGAGUUGAGAGACUGAUCGGCCACAAUGGGACUGAGACACGGCCCAUACUCCUACGGGAGGCAGCAGUAGGGAAUCUUCCACAAUGGGCGCAAGCCUGAUGGAGCAACACCGCGUGAGUGAAGAAGGGUUUCGGCUCGUAAAGCUCUGUUGUUAAAGAAGAACACGUAUGAGAGUAACUGUUCAUACGUUGACGGUAUUUAACCAGAAAGUCACGGCUAACUACGUGCCAGCAGCCGCGGUAAUACGUAGGUGGCAAGCGUUAUCCGGAUUUAUUGGGCGUAAAGAGAGUGCAGGCGGUUUUCUAAGUCUGAUGUGAAAGCCUUCGGCUUAACCGGAGAAGUGCAUCGGAAACUGGAUAACUUGAGUGCAGAAGAGGGUAGUGGAACUCCAUGUGUAGCGGUGGAAUGCGUAGAUAUAUGGAAGAACACCAGUGGCGAAGGCGGCUACCUGGUCUGCAACUGACGCUGAGACUCGAAAGCAUGGGUAGCGAACAGGAUUAGAUACCCUGGUAGUCCAUGCCGUAAA